Molecule: long non-coding RNA, 272 nt
Organism: Asparagus officinalis (garden asparagus)
Lineage: Eukaryota; Viridiplantae; Streptophyta; Magnoliopsida; Asparagales; Asparagaceae
Exons: 3
Source: RefSeq, a predicted model, not a curated record
GGGAAGCUUUUAAGAAAAAUAGAGAUAUAUUAAUCAAGGAGUUCCAAGUGAUUUCGAGGAGGCGUCGUGAUUGGUAUUCCGAUAGUCUUUCGGAUUUGUAGACUCGGGAUUAGGUGGAUUUGAGGAUUAUUCAAAAUCUUAGAACGGGCCAAGGAAUAAGAUUCGAGAUUGUUAUUAUUUUCUAGGUGAAUGUUAAAUAAAGUCCUUGAUGUUUCGUUGAUAAAUUGAGAGUUUUGGAAUAAUAAUAUUCUUUCCUUUAAGUUGAGGUUUAU